Molecule: ribosomal RNA, 300 nt
Filed under: Candidatus Neoehrlichia tanzania
Lineage: Bacteria; Pseudomonadati; Pseudomonadota; Alphaproteobacteria; Rickettsiales; Anaplasmataceae
Description: bacterial SSU rRNA
Rfam family: Bacterial small subunit ribosomal RNA
Source: RNAcentral
UAUGCCGCAUGAGUGAAGAAGGCCUUAGGGUUGUAAAACUCUUUCAGCAGGGAAGAUAAUGACGGUACCUGCAGAAGAAGUCCCGGCAAACUCCGUGCCAGCAGCCGCGGUAAUACGGAGGGGGCAAGCGUUGUUCGGAAUUAUUGGGCGUAAAGGGCAUGUAGGCUGUUUAAUAAGUUAAAAGUGAAAUACCAGAGCUUAACUCUGGAGCUGCUUUUAAUACUGUUAGACUAGAGAUUGAGAGAGGAUAGUGGAAUUCCUAGUGUAGAGGUGAAAUUCGUAGAUAUUAGGAGGAACACC